AUUUGGGUAGUUUAAAUAAAAUGUCAGGUUGUGGGACUGGAGAUGCUGUUAGGCCCUAGAUA
This 62-nucleotide transfer RNA is filed under the name Heterophrynus longicornis. RNAcentral describes it as "tRNA-His". The record is from RNAcentral. Lineage: Eukaryota; Metazoa; Arthropoda; Arachnida; Amblypygi; Phrynidae.